RNAcentral lists this transfer RNA (61 nucleotides) under Ornithodoros furcosus. Its description in RNAcentral is "tRNA-Thr". The record is from RNAcentral. Lineage: Eukaryota; Metazoa; Arthropoda; Arachnida; Ixodida; Argasidae.
ACUAUAAUAGUUUAAUAAAAACAAAGGUCUUGUAAACCUUAAAUGAUCUUUUCUAAUAGUA